Molecule: ribosomal RNA, 441 nt
Filed under: Clostridioides sp. ZZV14-6044
Lineage: Bacteria; Bacillati; Bacillota; Clostridia; Peptostreptococcales; Peptostreptococcaceae
Description: bacterial SSU rRNA
Rfam family: Bacterial small subunit ribosomal RNA
Source: RNAcentral
CCUACGGGCGGCAGCAGUGGGGGAUAUUGCGCAAUGGGGGCAACCCUGACGCAGCAACGCCGCGUGAAGGAUGAAGGUUUUCGGAUUGUAAACUUCUUUUAUUAAGGACGAAAAUUGACGGUACUUAAUGAAUAAGCUCCGGCUAACUACGUGCCAGCAGCCGCGGUAAUACGUAGGGAGCAAGCGUUGUCCGGAUUUACUGGGUGUAAAGGGUGCGUAGGCGGCUCUGCAAGUCAGAUGUGAAAUCUAUGGGCUCAACCCAUAAACUGCAUUUGAAACUGUAGAGCUUGAGUGAAGUAGAGGCAGGCGGAAUUCCCCGUGUAGCGGUGAAAUGCGUAGAGAUGGGGAGGAACACCAGUGGCGAAGGCGGCCUGCUGGGCUUUAACUGACGCUGAGGCACGAAAGCGUGGGUAGCAAACAGGAUUAGAUACCCCUGUAGUC